CACAAAAAGCCAUGCAACUUUUCUGGAUGUCAUUGGAUGGAUGGACAAGGCACGGGCUUCAGUGACAAACCAAACCAUCCUGUCCGGAUUCAGAAAGGCUGGGAUAAUUGGAACUGCAACUGACGAUGACUAAGACGUAAGCGGCGUACCGAUAGAAGAGGAAGCGGCGCAUUGUCUACCUUUGGAGUUGGCAGAGUUGUUCAAAAGCGACACAGAGGAAGAAGAUUUCAUGGGAUUUAUGGAUUAGGAGUGACAGAUAGUUUGCAGGUGCAACUUCCAUCCAUCCAUUUUCUACCGCUUAUUCCCUUUUGGGGUCGCGGGGGGCGCUGGCGCCUAUCUCAGCUACAAUCGGGCGGAAGGCGGGGUACACCCUGGACAAGUCGCCACCUCAUCACAGGGCCAACACAGAUAGACAGACAACAUUCACACACUAGGGCCAAUUUAGUGUUGCCAAUCAACCUAUCCCCAGGUGCAUGUCUUUGGAAGUGGGAAGAAGCCGGAGUACCCGGAGGGAACCCACGCAUUCACGGGGAGAACAUGCAAACUCCACACAGAAAGAUCCCGAGCCUGGAUUUGAACCCAGGACUGCAGGAACUUCGUAUUGUGAGGCAGACGCACUAACCCCUCUGCCACCGUGAAGCCCCGCUGCAACUUAUACUCCGAAAAAUACGGUAUAUCAUCACUUGUUCACACCUCCUCAUAUGGAAGAUACUUUUCUUUCUUCAUGUCUCAAGAAGGGUAGAAAGACAAAAACACAAACACUAACUUGUUCACCAGUCCUCAUAUGGAAUGUACUUUUCCUUGUUUCUGUCCCAAGAAGGGAAGCAAUACAAAAACACACACACACACACACACACACACACGCACACAUGCAGGGUACCUGUCUGAACAGUAAGAGGCACAGGUGCGCUCCUGGUGUCGCCGUUGAGCGAGUACAGGUGAACAGAGUAGAUGGUGCCUGGCUGCAGUCCUUUAAGAAGACAUGAGAGUUAUCAAGGUGAUGAAGAUGCUCGUUGCCAUGGAGACCUACCUGAGACCGUGUAGGUGUAAACGUCCGCCGGGACGGUCUUGACGAUGGUGGGACGUGAGCCGGGGGUGGGCGUGGCUUCAAUCAGGAAGCCCGUCAGCGUUUCCCCCUUGGAGCGCCAGUUGAGGGUGAAAGAGUCGUCCUUCACCUCGACGAUGCGCACGCGGCGAGGCGGACUUAUGUCUGCAGGAAAUAAUAAUGAUGAUGUCCCUUUAAAUAGUCCUACUAUGAUCUUCAUUCCAGGUAAUAGUAGGCACCUGCAGGCUUUUUCCUGUCGUUGUUGCAUCUAAACUGUCUUGAAUUAUUGGCAGCUUUUUCAGAAAGUCGCGGCAAAAUUUUAUGACGUGUUUAUUUUUUUUUUCAAGAUCAUUGAAUCAACUUGUGAUUUUAUGAGUUUGUUAUCAAUGAUUAACCCCAAAAAAGACAUGACACCAAUGAAGCCUUUCAUUUUGCACACAGACACUAGAUGGCAGUAAAAGCACAUACUCAGAUCUCAUACUCUUUUAAUUACAAUUUAGAUUACUUGGUAUGUCAAACUGUUAGAAUGUUAGCAUUUUAGCAUGCAAACAGGGCGCUAAUUAUUUAAAACCUCUUCUCAUUCCAGCGCUUACCAAAGGCAUGCGGUAAAUUUAGGCCUGCGCUUAUAAACUUGAGUGUGAUGUAAGGAUACCAUCAUGAAAAGCAUAUUUAAAAAAAAAAAAGUAUGGUCUUACCUUUACUUAUAAA
Nerophis ophidion (straightnose pipefish) is the source of this 1753-nucleotide long non-coding RNA. RefSeq lists it as uncharacterized. The record is from RefSeq and is a predicted model, not a curated record. The transcript is spliced from 2 exons. Lineage: Eukaryota; Metazoa; Chordata; Actinopteri; Syngnathiformes; Syngnathidae.